This 468-nucleotide ribosomal RNA is filed under the name uncultured bacterium. RNAcentral's name for it is "partial 16S ribosomal RNA". It matches the Rfam family "Bacterial small subunit ribosomal RNA", at positions 28 to 507 of the family's 1533-position model. The record is from RNAcentral.
GACGAACGCUGGCGGCGUGCUUAACACAUGCAAGUCGAACGGAAAGGCCCUGCUUUUGUGGGGUGCUCGAGUGGCGAACGGGUGAGUAACUCGUGAGUAACCUGCCCUUGACUUUGGGAUAACUUCAGGAAACUGGGGCUAAUACCGGAUAGGAGCUCCUGCUGCAUGGUGGGGGUUGGAAAGUUUCGGCGGUUGGGGAUGGACUCGCGGCUUAUCAGCUUGUUGGUGGGGUAGUGGCUUACCAAGGCUUUGACGGGUAGCCGGCCUGAGAGGGUGACCGGCCACAUUGGGACUGAGAUACGGCCCAGACUCCUACGGGAGGCAGCAGUGGGGAAUAUUGCACAAUGGGCGGAAGCCUGAUGCAGCAACGCCGCGUGCGGGAUGACGGCCUUCGGGUUGUAAACCGCUUUCGCCUGUGACGAAGCGUGAGUGACGGUAAUGGGUAAAGAAGUACCGGCUAACUACGUG